Molecule: unclassified non-coding RNA, 268 nt
Filed under: uncultured bacterium
Lineage: Bacteria
Description: contains 16S-23S intergenic spacer region
Source: RNAcentral
CGUCGAGCAAAACUAGCCGACUUCCUCAGCCUCGAACGAAACGUCUCAAUCGCUUCAUUGGCCGUCUUCCUGCUCGGUCUCGGUGAAGAACUCUGGAAGAAAUUCCUUCCGAAAUAUCUCGAAACACUCGGCGCGAGUACGCCCAUCAUCGGACUGUUUGGGACGGCUGAGAAUUUUCUCGAUGCCACUUACCAGUAUCCGGGUGGCUGGCUGGCGGACCGUCUCGGUCGUAGACGCGCAUUCGUAGUAUUCAUCGCGUUAGCGGCCA